UGGCCAAAUGGUUAAGGUGUCCGCUUUGUAAGUGGAUGAUCAUGGGUUCGAUGCCCAU
This 58-nucleotide transfer RNA is filed under the name Culex quinquefasciatus (southern house mosquito). It matches the Rfam family "tRNA", at positions 8 to 63 of the family's 71-position model. Rfam says of the family: Transfer RNA (tRNA) molecules are approximately 80 nucleotides in length. Their secondary structure includes four short double-helical elements and three loops (D, anti-codon, and T loops). Further hydrogen bonds mediate the characteristic L-shaped molecular structure. tRNAs have two regions of fundamental functional importance: the anti-codon, which is responsible for specific mRNA codon recognition, and the 3' end, to which the tRNAs corresponding amino acid is attached (by aminoacyl-tRNA synthetases). tRNAs cope with the degeneracy of the genetic code in two manners: having more than one tRNA (with a specific anti-codon) for a particular amino acid; and 'wobble' base-pairing, i.e. permitting non-standard base-pairing at the 3rd anti-codon position. Lineage: Eukaryota; Metazoa; Arthropoda; Insecta; Diptera; Culicidae. The record is from Rfam by way of RNAcentral.